CGUGCCCUCUCCCCGGCCGCCCACCGGGCGGCCUUCUUCCUCCCAGGCUGGGCGAGCCUGUGUCCCUUCAGGCCUGCAGAUCUGACUUCCUGCAGCGGGGCCAGAGUCUGUGCAUGCCGUCUGGCCCUGGGACAGUCGGCUUUUCGCUUCUUUUCACUGAGGCGUCGGUCCUCACAGCGGCAGCUUUCCACGCUCGGGAUUCCCCGCAGGGACCUCGCUGGGCCUCCGCGGGCUGGCCCACCAGACCCAGCCUUGGGGCUGUGCCAGGCCUGGGUUUGGGCCACGCGAGAGACAGUGUCAGGGUGGGUGAGUGUGCUCAGGUGGGCUGGCACCCUCCCGGCUCCCUCCCCGCCUCCGGGGCCGUGUCCGGCUCUCACUGGCCCCCGAGCCAGGACCGCCAUCUUGUGCGCACCCAGCCCUCCAGGCGGCCCGCCGGGAAACUCCCUUCCUGUGGCCCCCGUGUGCAUGUGAGCACUUCAGAGGCAUCUCCAGGAAGCGGGCCUCGGAUGCCUCCAGAGCCCCUCCAGCCUGGCGAUGGGACGCGGGCCCCUCCCGAAGGGCCGCAGGCUCCUGAGGGCCUUGACGCCUGAGGUCACCUGAGAUGGAGGGCCUCAUCAAUAAUUGAUUCUGCAGAAGGCAGGGGAGUUCCAGCCAAGAGGGAAGGAAGGGUCCACGGCUCACUCACGCGGAGCCCGGGGCCAGUGAAACCCUGCAGAGGCCCCACUCCCCUCUGUGGGCCAGGGCUGGGGGCCUGCAGGAGGUGCCCCGCCAGGCGCCCCCCAGCACAGCACCACGGGCAGGGCUACAGGACAGCUGUAUCGAUCGCCCCCGCUUUCCGAUCUUGCCUGCAGCUCCCUGGGGCUGAAGGAUGAUGGAUGACAGCUGGGGGGUCAUGUGGCCACAUCCCUGCCUGAAGGGAGCCCUCCUCUGGCCCCCAAAGCUGGGGGGAUGCAGGCGCGCACAGAGCAGGGAAGCAGCAAAACACAGCCCCUCACUGCUGUGUGAGGCCAUCAGCAGUCACUCCCCACACCGCCCAGCCCCCGUCCCCAGGCGGCCACCAGCCUACUUUCUGUUUCCAUAGAUUUGGUCUGUUCUGGACAUUUCACGUAAACGGAGUCAUACAAUA
Odocoileus virginianus texanus is the source of this 1126-nucleotide non-coding RNA. The record is from RefSeq and is a predicted model, not a curated record. NCBI's taxonomy places the organism in Eukaryota, Metazoa, Chordata, Mammalia, Artiodactyla, Cervidae.